This 555-nucleotide long non-coding RNA is filed under the name Felis catus (domestic cat). Its description in RNAcentral is "lncRNA (ENSFCAG00000048694.1)". The record is from RNAcentral. Lineage: Eukaryota; Metazoa; Chordata; Mammalia; Carnivora; Felidae.
GCCUCUCCCCUCAUCCCCUGGGUCCUCCUUCCGCCACCCAUCAGCAGUCACAGUGCCGCCUGCACGCUGAGCAUCACUUGGCAGUCCAGGCCUCUAGGCAGGCUCCAGUGGAUGGAAAAUGCAGACCCUCCUGCUCAGAGAGCUCUCUAACGGGAGAGGACAUCGAUUUGGAAAGCCUUGGGGUGCUGUGAGGAGUGGCUUACCCAGCCGCUGAGCCCUGUUCCCUGUGCCAGUGCCCCAGAAACGGGCCCAACCCCCAGCUCUCCUGGCAUGGAUUCAGGCUCCGUUCCACAUCACUCCUUUAGGCGUAAAAGACACCGGGGCCAGCAGCUAGCAGAGGGAGAGACGCAUCUCCUGGAAGUCGAUCCGAUCAGAACUCCAUUCUAUGGUCCCAGAGCUUCACGUGGCCGUGGUUUGCACAGAGGCAGCCGGAAGACAGGAUGGCAUCCUGAGCGGUGGGGGAGCGAUAGGUGCCAGCCAGCAGCAGGACCCUGGGACCGUGAGAGGCCCCCAGGCGGUAAGGGACAAGGGCUUCAGCCACAGGACACCAGUGCA